Molecule: non-coding RNA, 126 nt
Organism: Triticum aestivum (bread wheat)
Lineage: Eukaryota; Viridiplantae; Streptophyta; Magnoliopsida; Poales; Poaceae
Source: Rfam
UUGCUACUCCCUCCGUCCGAAAAAACUUGUCCCUCAAAUGAAUGUAUCUAGCACCAAGUUAGUGCUAGAUACAUCCAUUUGAUGGACAGGCUUGGGACAAGCUUUUUCGGACGGAGGGAGUACAAG